Non-coding RNA from Mycena alexandri, 95 nucleotides. The record is from the annotation of a GenBank genome assembly. Lineage: Eukaryota; Fungi; Basidiomycota; Agaricomycetes; Agaricales; Mycenaceae.
CACCUGGUGGCACAUGGUGUGCACCUGCCUUCCGUAAACGAUCAGUUGGUAGAAUGUGUGGGCAGGAGGUCCCCGUUCGACUCGGGGUCGGGUGA